Molecule: ribosomal RNA, 247 nt
Filed under: uncultured bacterium
Lineage: Bacteria
Description: partial 16S ribosomal RNA
Rfam family: Bacterial small subunit ribosomal RNA
Source: RNAcentral
CACGGAAGGGGCAGGCGUUAUUCUUCUUAACUGGGUGUAAAGCGUAUUUUGAUUGUAUUUGCAGAAACUUUAAUAAGUUUCACAUUUUUGAAAGAAAUAAGUCUAUAAAAAUACUGUUUUUUAUUGAUGUUGAUUCAAUUCUUGGCCGAAGGACAAAAUUUUGUGAGACUGAGAGGAAAACCAAAUGCGAAGGCAUUUUUCUAGGUAAAAAAUAUAUUUAAGUACGAAAACUUGGGUAGCGAGCGGG